This 894-nucleotide ribosomal RNA is filed under the name Escherichia coli. RNAcentral describes it as "partial 23S ribosomal RNA". It matches the Rfam family "Bacterial large subunit ribosomal RNA", at positions 2055 to 2925 of the family's 2925-position model. The record is from RNAcentral. Lineage: Bacteria; Pseudomonadati; Pseudomonadota; Gammaproteobacteria; Enterobacterales; Enterobacteriaceae.
GAAGAUGCAGUGUACCCGCGGCAAGACGGAAAGACCCCGUGAACCUUUACUAUAGCUUGACACUGAACAUUGAGCCUUGAUGUGUAGGAUAGGUGGGAGGCUUAGAAGUGUGGACGCCAGUCUGCAUGGAGCCGACCUUGAAAUACCACCCUUUAAUGUUUGAUGUUCUAACGUUGACCCGUAAUCCGGGUUGCGGACAGUGUCUGGUGGGUAGUUUGACUGGGGCGGUCUCCUCCUAAAGAGUAACGGAGGAGCACGAAGGUUGGCUAAUCCUGGUCGGACAUCAGGAGGUUAGUGCAAUGGCAUAAGCCAGCUUGACUGCGAGCGUGACGGCGCGAGCAGGUGCGAAAGCAGGUCAUAGUGAUCCGGUGGUUCUGAAUGGAAGGGCCAUCGCUCAACGGAUAAAAGGUACUCCGGGGAUAACAGGCUGAUACCGCCCAAGAGUUCAUAUCGACGGCGGUGUUUGGCACCUCGAUGUCGGCUCAUCACAUCCUGGGGCUGAAGUAGGUCCCAAGGGUAUGGCUGUUCGCCAUUUAAAGUGGUACGCGAGCUGGGUUUAGAACGUCGUGAGACAGUUCGGUCCCUAUCUGCCGUGGGCGCUGGAGAACUGAGGGGGGCUGCUCCUAGUACGAGAGGACCGGAGUGGACGCAUCACUGGUGUUCGGGUUGUCAUGCCAAUGGCACUGCCCGGUAGCUAAAUGCGGAAGAGAUAAGUGCUGAAAGCAUCUAAGCACGAAACUUGCCCCGAGAUGAGUUCUCCCUGACUCCUUGAGAGUCCUGAAGGAACGUUGAAGACGACGACGUUGAUAGGCCGGGUGUGUAAGCGCAGCGAUGCGUUGAGCUAACCGGUACUAAUGAACCGUGAGGCUUAACCUUACAACGCCGAAGGUGUUU